Molecule: ribosomal RNA, 304 nt
Filed under: uncultured bacterium
Lineage: Bacteria
Description: partial 16S ribosomal RNA
Rfam family: Bacterial small subunit ribosomal RNA
Source: RNAcentral
CAGCAGUCGCCGCGGUAAUACGAAGGGGGCUAGCGUUGUUCGGAAUUAUUGGGCGUAAAGGGCUCGCAGGCGGUUUCUUAAGUCUGAUGUGAAAGCCCCCGGCUCAACCGGGGAGGGUCAUUGGAAACUGGGAAACUUGAGUGCAGAAGAGGAGAGUGGAAUUCCACGUGUAGCGGUGAAAUGCGUAGAGAUGUGGAGGAACACCAGUGGCGAAGGCGACUCUCUGGUCUGUAACUGACGCUGAGGAGCGAAAGCGUGGGGAGCGAACGGGAUUAGAGACCCCCGUAGUCCCUGUCUCUUAUAC